RNAcentral lists this ribosomal RNA (497 nucleotides) under uncultured bacterium. RNAcentral describes it as "partial 16S ribosomal RNA". It matches the Rfam family "Bacterial small subunit ribosomal RNA", at positions 28 to 507 of the family's 1533-position model. The record is from RNAcentral.
GAUGAACGCUGGCAGCGUGCCUAAUACAUGCAAGUCGAGCGAACAGAUGAGGAGCUUGCUCCUCUGACGUUAGCGGCGGACGGGUGAGUAACACGUGGAUAACCUACCUAUAAGACUGGGAUAACUUCGGGAAACCGGAGCUAAUACCGGAUAAUAUAUUGAACCGCAUGGUUCAAUAGUGAAAGACGGUUUUGCUGUCACUUAUAGAUGGAUCCGCGCCGCAUUAGCUAGUUGGUAAGGUAACGGCUUACCAAGGCAACGAUGCGUAGCCGACCUGAGAGGGUGAUCGGCCACACUGGAACUGAGACACGGUCCAGACUCCUACGGGAGGCAGCAGUAGGGAAUCUUCCGCAACGGGCGAAAGCCUGACGGAGCAACGCCGCGUGAGUGAUGAAGGUCUUCGGAUCGUAAAACUCUGUUAUUAGGGAAGAACAAAUGUGUAAGUAACUAUGCACGUCUUGACGGUACCUAAUCAGAAAGCCACGGCUAACUACGUG